CGCUGGCGGCAUGCUUACACAUGCAAGUCGAACGCGUGGUCUCGGGUUCGCCUGGGGCCAUGAGUGGCGCACGGGUGAGUAGCGCGUGGGAACCUGCCCUCUUGUGGGGGAUAACCGAGGGAAACCUCGGCUAAUACCGCAUAAGCCGGGUGUCUUGAGAGAGGCACUCGGGAAAGAUUUAUCGCGAGAGGAGGGGCCCGCGUCGGAUUAGCUUGUUGGUGGGGUAACGGCCUACCAAGGCGAUGAUCCGUAGCUGGUCUGAGAGGAUGAUCAGCCACACUGGGACUGAGACACGGCCCAGACUCCUACGGGAGGCAGCAGUGGGGAAUAUUGGACAAUGGGCGCAAGCCUGAUCCAGCAAUGCCGCGUGAGUGAGGAAGGCCUUAGGGUUGUAAAGCUCUUUCACCCGCGACGAUGAUGACGGUAGCGGGAGAAGAAGCCCCGGCUAACUUCGUGCCAGCAGCCGCGGUAAUACGAAGGGGGCGAGCGUUGUUCGGAUUUACUGGGCGUAAAGGGCGCGCAGGCGGCUCAUUUUGUCAGGCGUGAAAGCCCCGGGCUUAACCUGGGAACUGCGUUUGAUACGGGUGGGCUAGAGUUCGGGAGAGGAGCGUGGAAUU
RNAcentral lists this ribosomal RNA (617 nucleotides) under uncultured soil bacterium. RNAcentral describes it as "bacterial SSU rRNA". It matches the Rfam family "Bacterial small subunit ribosomal RNA", at positions 34 to 668 of the family's 1533-position model. The record is from RNAcentral.